AUGAGGCAAAGGGCGGCCCAACCGCCGCCCGGAGCCGACCCUCUCCACCCUGCCUUUUUGAAAACCUCACCUCCUCCCCGGCCUCCGCGCCGGGCUGGCUUACUUGAAAAAACCUUGCAGUUAUAGUCUAUUCAGUUAUUUUAAACAAAAUUACAACUUUCAACAAUGGAUCUCUUGGCUCUGGCAUCGAUGAAGAACGCAGCGAAAUGCGAUAAGUAGUGUGAAUUGCAGAAUUCAGCGAAUCAUCGAAUCUUUGAACGCACAUUGCGCCCUUCGGUUAUUCCUUAGGGCAUGCCUGUUCGAGCGUCAUUUCAACCUUCAAGCCUGGCUUGGUGUUGGGCGCUGUCCCGCCCCCGCGCGCGGACUCGCCUCGAAUGAAUUGGCAGUCGCACCCUCCGAGCCGCGAGCGCAGCACAAGUCGCGCCCGCCGGCCCGCUGGGACGGACGCUCCACGAGACCCCCCACAGUCUUGACCUCGGAUCAGGUAGGGAUACCCGCUGAACUUAAGCAUAUCAAUAA
RNAcentral lists this unclassified non-coding RNA (519 nucleotides) under Torula herbarum. Its description in RNAcentral is "sequence contains 18S rRNA gene, ITS1, 5.8S rRNA gene, ITS2". The stretch from base 155 to 309 matches the Rfam family "5.8S ribosomal RNA". Lineage: Eukaryota; Fungi; Ascomycota; Dothideomycetes; Pleosporales; Torulaceae. The record is from RNAcentral.